AAACUAUGUUGAAGCAAGAGACUCCAAAGCAAGACCCUGAAGACUUUACAACAGCACUCGUUACAUGAAGCAUCUAAAGGUCAGCAAAUGCUUCGUGAAAGCCUUUUGAUGACAGCUGUCAUUACAACUUUACUACAAAUUGGAAACCAUAGGCUGAAUUGGAGAAGACACAAGAUGGAAGAUUGAACCCUUGCAUCUUCACUUAGAGAAGAGCUACCCCAGAAAAAUAUGGUGCAUUUGCUUCCAAGAACCACAGAGAAGACGUCAAGCUGAAGUGUUGAGGGGGUGACAGAAGGUCCCCUGAAGUUAUCUGCUAUGCAACUUUGAUCUUUCCAUAGAUAAGAGCAUCCAGGAAUGGAAAGACUAGAGAAUAGAACCUUUGCCUCCCUUCAGAGUCACAUCAUAUAAAGGAAGGAAGAAACUUGAAAACUAAUGGAUGUAAGUAUGGGUUAGUGAUUUUUUUUUUAAUUCCUUUGGCUGCAUCCCUAGAAUGCCAGUUACUGCUUCUCUGUUCAAGGUUUAGUUACAGUGCUGUAUGUGUUCAGAGGUUUUCUGUUCCUCUUUUAGAAUAUAUCUUGCUAGUGCAUA
Long non-coding RNA from Ailuropoda melanoleuca (giant panda), 588 nucleotides. RefSeq lists it as uncharacterized. The transcript is spliced from 4 exons. The record is from RefSeq and is a predicted model, not a curated record. Lineage: Eukaryota; Metazoa; Chordata; Mammalia; Carnivora; Ursidae.